GGGAAUGCAAUCACCAACGGCAAGAGACAGCAAUGGUGCAAAAAGACUUGCGGCUAAUCUAAGUCAAGAUCAGGUGUAACUCCAGUCUUAGCAACGUUGACAGCUAGGGGCUUCGAGGUGGUGCUGCUAGUGUCACGCCCCAAGACCGCUACCAAUUUGGCACGGCUCGGGCGCGUCGAACAGACGCCGAACGGACAGCACCUCCCCUGUUCGCCCAAGGCCAACAACCUGAUCAUGUACAAAAAUUUGCCCAGGAAAUAGAAAUUCAUACAUACACGAUCACAAGGGCACAAACAGUGAAAACAACUAAGAACAAGAAUCCCCAAGCAUACACGAGUGAAAUAAAGAGAGUUUGCUAACUAUUACAUCAUUUGCAUUCAUUUACAUAUUCAUCUUCUCAAAAUGGGUACAUGGUUCACUAAUGACCAACAAAUACAUACAUCAAUAGCUCUUCAAACCUCACCUACAAAGGUCUCUCAUAUUGUCACGCCCCACCCCGAAUCCAAUACCAAUUUGGCACAGUUCGGGCGCGCCGGACGGACCGCCGAACGGACAGCACCUCUCCUGUCCGCCCAAGGCUAAGCAACCAGAUCAUGUAUAAUUAAGCGCCCAGGGAAUGCUUAAAUAACAUACAUGAUCGAUACGAUGCACACAAGUGCAAUACAUCUAAGAGCAAGAACCACAAGUAAUGCACAAGUGUAUAAAGAGAGAUAGUCUAACUAUUACAACCAUUCAA
RNAcentral lists this long non-coding RNA (736 nucleotides) under Ananas comosus (pineapple). RNAcentral's name for it is "long non-coding RNA (ACOM_LNC029181)". The record is from RNAcentral. Lineage: Eukaryota; Viridiplantae; Streptophyta; Magnoliopsida; Poales; Bromeliaceae.